CACACUGGAACUGAGACACGGCCCAGACUCCUACGGGAGGCAGCAGUAGGGAAUCUUCCGCAAUGGACGAAAGUCUGACGGAGCAACGCCGCGUGAGUGAUGAAGGUUUUCGGAUCGUAAAACUCUGUUGUCAGGGAAGAACAAGUGCCGGAGUAACUGCCGGCGCCUUGACGGUACCUGACUAGAAAGCCACGGCUAACUACGUGCCAGCAGCCGCGGUAAUACGUAGGUGGCAAGCGUUGUCCGGAAUUAUUGGGCGUAAAGCGCGCGCAGGCGGUUUCUUAAGUCUGAUGUGAAAGCCCCCGGCUCAACCGGGGAGGGUCAUUGGAAACUGGGAAACUUGAGUGCAGAAGAGGAGAGUGGAAUUCCACGUGUAGCGGUGAAAUGCGUAGAGAUGUGGAGGAACACCAGUGGCGAAGGCGACUCUCUGGUCUGUAACUGACGCUGAGGCGCGAAAGCGUGGGGAGCGAACAGGAUUAGAUACCCUGGUAGUCCACGCCGUAAACGAUGAGUGCUAAGUGUUA
Molecule: ribosomal RNA, 524 nt
Filed under: Metabacillus indicus
Lineage: Bacteria; Bacillati; Bacillota; Bacilli; Caryophanales; Bacillaceae
Description: bacterial SSU rRNA
Rfam family: Bacterial small subunit ribosomal RNA
Source: RNAcentral